AUCUCCGUGAAGAAGACGAUGAAGAGGAAGAGGAAGAGGAAGGGAGAGAGAGGUGUUAGUGUCUGAGGAACGAGGAAGUGGCGAUGUGGUAUAAAUACCUGCGCGCGCUAAUGCUCGUCGAGAGGAAGGUGAAUUAGUGCGAAGAACGUAGGAAAAACAGAGGACAUGCAGUUCCUAUAAUUUAUUUUUUCAAUGUACUUGUGGGGGCCCCUCUUCCAUGCUUUAUUUGAUAUAUACAUACCAGAUUUCUAAAAA
Sorghum bicolor (sorghum) is the source of this 255-nucleotide long non-coding RNA. RefSeq lists it as uncharacterized. The transcript has 2 exons. The record is from RefSeq and is a predicted model, not a curated record. NCBI's taxonomy places the organism in Eukaryota, Viridiplantae, Streptophyta, Magnoliopsida, Poales, Poaceae.